Non-coding RNA from Dryococelus australis, 73 nucleotides. The record is from the annotation of a GenBank genome assembly. NCBI's taxonomy places the organism in Eukaryota, Metazoa, Arthropoda, Insecta, Phasmatodea, Phasmatidae.
GCCUGGCUAGCUAAGUCGGUAGAGCAUGAAACUCUUCAUUUCAGGGUUGUGGGUUCGAGCCCCACGUUGGGCA